RNAcentral lists this ribosomal RNA (317 nucleotides) under Phenacoccus parvus. RNAcentral describes it as "partial 28S ribosomal RNA". The record is from RNAcentral. Lineage: Eukaryota; Metazoa; Arthropoda; Insecta; Hemiptera; Pseudococcidae.
AAACCGUUCGGGGGUAAACGGACAGAGCCCGUGAAUCCGGGCGGCGGAAUUCAGAGUCGAUGGCGGCAACGUCGUCGGUUCGAUAUUUCCGUCGCCGAUACGGACGUCGCGACCCGUUUGGUGUUGGUCUCAGGAGACGUGUGUUACGUUCGUUGACGCGUUGUCCGCUUCGGUGGGCACGUGUUGCGAGUACGCGUUCGUGUUCCGGCCAGCUCGCCAGACGGUACGUUAAAGGUGGCCGUGACGGUCGUUCGCCUCACGGCGAUCAGCGCUGUUCACGGUACCGGUUUGCGACGAAUCUUCGGGCCUCUUUCCGA